UCAUAUUUCGGUGGGUUAUAU
This 21-nucleotide non-coding RNA is filed under the name Caenorhabditis elegans. Lineage: Eukaryota; Metazoa; Nematoda; Chromadorea; Rhabditida; Rhabditidae. The record is from RNAcentral.